This 856-nucleotide ribosomal RNA is filed under the name Salmonella enterica. RNAcentral describes it as "partial 23S ribosomal RNA". It matches the Rfam family "Bacterial large subunit ribosomal RNA", at positions 690 to 1547 of the family's 2925-position model. The record is from RNAcentral. Lineage: Bacteria; Pseudomonadati; Pseudomonadota; Gammaproteobacteria; Enterobacterales; Enterobacteriaceae.
GGGCGUUAAGUUGCAGGGUAUAGACCCGAAACCCGGUGAUCUAGCCAUGGGCAGGUUGAAGGUUGGGUAACACUAACUGGAGGACCGAACCGACUAAUGUUGAAAAAUUAGCGGAUGACCUGUGGCUGGGGGUGAAAGGCCAAUCAAACCGGGAGAUAGCUGGUUCUCCCCGAAAGCUAUUUAGGUAGCGCCUCGUGAAUUCAUCUCCGGGGGUAGAGCACUGUUUCGGCUAGGGGGCCAUCCCGGCUUACCAACCCGAUGCAAACUGCGAAUACCGGAGAAUGUUAUCACGGGAGACACACGGCGGGUGCUAACGUCCGUCGUGAAGAGGGAAACAACCCAGACCGCCAGCUAAGGUCCCAAAGUCAUAGUUAAGUGGGAAACGAUGUGGGAAGGCCCAGACAGCCAGGAUGUUGGCUUAGAAGCAGCCAUCAUUUAAAGAAAGCGUAAUAGCUCACUGGUCGAGUCGGCCUGCGCGGAAGAUGUAACGGGGCUAAACUAUGCACCGAAGCUGCGGCAGCGACACUAUGUGUUGUUGGGUAGGGGAGCGUUCUGUAAGCCUGUGAAGGUGUGUCGUGAGGCAUGCUGGAGGUAUCAGAAGUGCGAAUGCUGACAUAAGUAACGAUAAAGCGGGUGAAAAGCCCGCUCGCCGGAAGACCAAGGGUUCCUGUCCAACGUUAAUCGGGGCAGGGUGAGUCGACCCCUAAGGCGAGGCCGAAAGGCGUAGUCGAUGGGAAACGGGUUAAUAUUCCCGUACUUGGUGUUACUGCGAAGGGGGGACGGAGAAGGCUAUGUUGGCCGGGCGACGGUUGUCCCGGUUUAAGCGUGUAGGUGUGUGUUCCAGGUAAAUCCGGUU